UGUUCCUCAUUGGUCCGGUGGCGGCCGAGGGUGUUUUGAUUGGUUGAGGGUGGAGUUUGUAUCUACGGGUUUAGCGCCACUCCGCUGACUGCAGCUGCUCUGAGCGUGCAGUUUGGGUGGGCUCACGCGUUUUCAGGGUAGAGAAGUCUUGCUCAAAAAGCUGCAGGAGGACACAGCCCAGCUGAGCUUGUUAUUAGAGCAGCACGCCCUGAAGUGGCAGAGAGCCCUGGAAACACCUCCCUGGUGUACUUUAAGGAAAACUCAUCAGGACUAUCGCUUCUGGAAAGCUGUGUAAAUGCAAUAAUCAGUAGUGUGUUAACGACAGCUACUGGUUUGGGAGGGAUAGAAACUGUGAAUACUGCUUUGAUGAGCCCCUGCUGAAAAGAACCGAUAAGUAUCGGACUUACAGCAAGAAGCACUUUCGAAUCUUCAGAGAAAUGGGUCCUAAAAACUCUUACAUCGCAUACAUAGAAGAUCACAGUGGGAAUGGAACCUUUGUAAAUAGAGAGCUUGUAGGGAAAGGAAGACGCCUUCCUUUGAAUAACAAUUCUGAAAUUGCACUUUCAGUGUGGAGUAAUAAAGUUUUUGUAUUUUUUGAUCUGACUGUAGAUGAUCAGUCAGUUUAUCCAAAGGAAUUAAGAGACGAAUACAUCAUGUCGAAAACUCUUGGAAGCGGUGCCUGUGGUGAGGUGAAACUAGCUUUUGAGAGGAAAACUUGUAAGAAAGUAGCCAUAAAGAUCAUCAGCAAAAGGAAGUUUGCUAUUGGCUCUGAGAGAGAGGCAGAUCCAGCACUCAAUGUUGAAACAGAAAUAGAAAUUUUGAAGAAACUAAAUCACCCUUGUAUCAUCAAGAUUAAAGACUUUUUUGAUGCUGAAGAUUAUUACAUCGUUUUGGAAUUGAUGGAAGGAGGAGAGCUGUUUGACAGGGUGGUGGGGAAUAAACGCCUGAGAGAAGCAACCUGCAAACUCUAUUUUUACCAGAUGCUCCUGGCUGUUCAGUACCUUCACGAAAAUGGCAUCAUACAUCGGGACUUAAAGCCAGAGAAUGUUCUACUCUCAUCUCAAAAAGAGGACUGUCUUAUAAAGAUUACUGAUUUUGGGCAGUCCAAGAUUUUGGGAGAGACCUCUCUCAUGAGAACCUUAUGUGGUACCCCCACCUACCUGGCUCCCGAGGUUCUUAAUUCCUUGGGAACUGCCGGAUAUAACCGUGCUGUGGACUGCUGGAGUUUAGGAGUUAUUCUUUUCAUUUGCCUUAGUGGGUAUCCACCUUUCUCUGAGCAUAAGAGUCAAGUGUCACUGAAGGAUCAGAUCACCAGUGGAAAAUACAACUUCAUUCCUGGAGUCUGGGCAGAAGUCUCAGAGAAGGCUCUGGACCUUGUCAAGAAGUUGUUGAUAGUGGAUCCAAAGGCACGUUUUACGACAGAAGAAGCUUUAAGACAUCCAUGGCUUCAGGAUGAGGACAUGAAGAGAAAAUUUAAGAAUUUGCUUUUUGAAGAAGACAAGUCCACAGCUCUGUCUCAGGUUCCAGCCCAGCCUUCUACAAGUCGAAAGCGGCAUCUUGAGGGGGAUACAGAGGAUGCUGAGCCCACAAAGCACCUGGCUGUGUGUGCUGCUGUCUUGUGAACACCGGGUGACCAUGAAAAGAAUGUACCUUCUUGAACUCUGCUGCCAUUUCCUUUAAAUCUGUUUUUUAUACUUUGUAUUUCCAUUAUAGGAAUAGUUGUUUUUCCACGAUCAUCAAUAUACAAUUGAAAACAAAUGGAACCCAGGCUUUGUGCUUCUGCUUGUUUUUGUUUUUGUUUUGGCCACACUUGUGGCAUGUGGAAUUUCCCAGGCCAGGGAUUGAACCCAAGCUGCUGCAGUGACAAUGCUGGAUCCUUAAAUCACUGCACCACAAGGGAACUCUUGUGCUUUUGCUUGUUGACUAGCUCUUAGUUACAUGCCUUUAGUGUGUGUGUAUGUGAAGUUGCUGUGUGCCUUUGGUGCUUUUACCUUGGCUAUAAUCAGGCAGGUUUCUUAGGAUGCACCCCUGGUCUCAGCCUAAGUGAACCUCAUACAGAUUCUGAAGGCCCCUUAAAAAGUUGUACGGGGAAGGGGUACAGUGACUUGGGGUGGAGUUUGUAUCCACUGGCUGGAUGCCAGAGUCCUCAGAAGACAGUAUACCAUGGGUCAGUUUUAGAGUCCUAUCCUCACCCUCAUUAUCCUUGAAAUAACAGGGACAGAUACAUUGUAAAAUUCAAAAAUUUCCUUAGUUUAGGAAGAGGACCAGGCACAUGGACUGUGUUGUGUGUAAUAUCCAGCUGAGUCCUAAAACCAAACACUAAUUUUUCUGCAACAAAUAUUCAAAGUAGUUGGGAUAGAGAAAACUAAGUAGCCUCAUGGCACUUCAGGUCCAUCUUCUACCAUGUCGGUUAUGGGGGACACUCAGGUUUCAGAGCUAUUUGGAUUUUGGAAAUGCCCCUAUAACCUUAUGUUAUAGGUGAGGAACCCAGGCUGAAGGAGUAAGGUGACUUAUCCAACAUCAUACAACUAGGAAGUGGCAGACCUGGGACCCAACCCAGGGUUUUCCGACACAAAUUCAUGUUCCUCAUCUCCUUCCCAUAUUUAGUCAGACUCACAGAUGUUGACUCACACUGACAAAACUCACAUAAGACUGAUGUCUAAAUAUUGAAUACCAGUAUGUUCAAUCAUGAUGAAUGAGUACAACCUAUGAUCUGUGUUAGUUGGAACAUCUUGGUGGCAAGGAACAGAGGCCCAUUCAAUUACUAUAUGGAAAAGGGGAUUUGUUUCAUUGUUACAGACGGCUGGGCCUGGGAGCAGGAGCGUAGACAGUUCUACUGACUGGCUCCUCUUGUCUCCUUCUGACCCACUGAUUUUGCUUCUCUUGCAACUUUGGCUGGCUGACACUAGGCCACAUUGUAGCUUGUUGACCAUGCCAUGAGUUGAGUGCCUUGGUUCAGAUGCCAGUGGGUGAGCCAGCCAGGAUAGGGUGAGCACAUAGUUGUUGCCCCAGGCAUUAAGGGUGGUGGUUGGCAAUUUCCAUUAGAAGGGUGCGCAAGCUUUCUGAGGCUUGGCUGGCCCAUUACUUAGGGCUUGAUGGGAUUUAGGUGGUUUGCAUAUUUAAAGGAAUGAGGCUGAGAUUGCCAAGUUAGAUGGGUUUUAGCUCAUUUGAAUAUUUAAUGUGAAGGCUGUGGUUUCUUAGGGCCUCUUUCCCUCUUGGGGCAGAGUCAGCCAGCCCUUCUGUUUCCAGAGCACUUUGUAUUAGGUCCCUCUGAUUAUACCUACUAGAGUGGGAUAAAUAAUGACCUCUAAAGAUAUUCUCAUCCCAAUCCCCAGAAUUUAUGAGCAUGUUCUUUUACAUGGCACAAGAGAUUUUGUGGGUGUGAUUAAGUGAAGGAUCUUGGGAUCUGUUUUAUCAAGGUGGACUCAAUAUCAUCACAAUGUUCCUUUCAAGAGGGACACAGGAAGAGGCAGAGUCAGAAGAGAUGGAGUGGUGCUCUUUGAAAACAGGAAGAGGCCAUCAACCAAGGAAUAUAGGCAGCUAUUAGACGCUGACAAAAAGCAAGGAAAUGGAUUCUCCCUCAGAGCCUGCUGAGGAACCAGUCCUUUCCUUUACACCUUGACUUUCACAAAAUGAAACUGAUUUCAGACUUCUGACCCACAAAACUUUAAGAGAAUAAAUUGUGUUGUUUUAAGCCACCCAAUUUGUGAUAAUUUGUUACAGCAGCCAUAGGAAACUAAUCAUAAAUGGAGAGACAUCAGUUGCUGGUUUGAGGCCAUCCAGCAUUGAUUCUUUUCCUUAACCUCAAACUCCAGUUUUCUUUUGGGGGAAUUAUUUUUCUUUUUUCCACAAUGUCAUAGGGGGAGGGGGAGAUUGUAAACCUAAGUGCCUGUCUGCAUCCCCCCCACUAUAGAAGCUAAAAGGGUCCAUAGAGGCUCCUCCCUGGUAGGGCCCCUUCCACUGACCACCCAGCUGGAGGUGGGCACAGGACUUUGAAAUGUGAGCAAAUGCAGCUAGGAUGGCAACAUUAGUGGUAGGAACAAUAUUGUGCUAAUCUCAGCUCUCUGUACUCCCUGACUUUGGCUUUGGACAAGUUACUUCAAGUUGCUGAGCUUCUAUUUCCUUAUCUAUAAAAUGAGUGCAAUAAGAGUAUCAAUUUAAUAUGGUGUUUCUGAGGGAAUCUAUGGUGGGAAUUUCACUUAAAGUGCCUGGUAGAGGAUUUGUCAAUGUUGGCCUCCAUCAUUAAAGGUGGGAGGGUCACAUAAAUAGCCCGAGGGAGCCAUAGAAAAUUCUUGAGUGGGGAGUUAACAUCAUCUGUUUAGCUUUUUAGGGUUUUUACAAAGCAGAUCUGGGAAACUCUAGGCCUGGGGUGGGUGGUGGGAGCAGAGGUGGGGGGUGCAUUGCCCAGUGACUCACGUAACUGCCACUCCCUUCUGAAGAACAGGCAUAUUGCUCUGAAGUGGACCUGCUGUGCCUAGAUGAUGGUGCAGUAGAUAGCUCUUAUUUGGGUCAGUCCUGAACCUGAUGCCUCUUACACUGAUUGCAACCCUAUUUUUCUGGGGGAGGCAUUCCUCCUUCCACUUGCCCCCAACCCAAGUCCUGGUGAGGCUGACCCCACUUGUAGAGAGGCUCCUUACAGUCAAAUCUGGCCAAUCUUGCUGUGACUGGCCCAGGCAGGUGCACGUGACCAAAAUGAAUGCAGUGAAAGUCAACCCAAGACUGGCUGGAACUGCAGGGAAACAGCUCCAGCUUUCCUGGUCAGAUAUGAGCUAGGAGCUGCCUGGGACACUGGAGAGAACUGCAUGAGAAUGAAGUCAUCAGUGAGGGAGGCAAAGCUUAGAGAAACUGUAGACAGAUAGAGGUUAUUGUUUGAGCACCUGGCUCCAAAUGCCUGAAGUAAGGUUCCAGCCCCAGGAUUUUUUCAGUAUGUUCCUUUUAUUGUUUUAUUCUGGGUUGAGUUUUUAAAAUCAAAAAAAAGUUUUUUGUUUUUUUUUUUUUUUUUUUUUUGGAAAAGGCCAGACUAAUAAACAAUUUUACAAAUUCCAAGAGACCCCUGGAUACUCUUUUUCUUUUCUUUUUUUUUUUAAGUAGGGAAAACAUUCUCUGCUGUUGUUUUUGUGCCAGCUUUAGGGUUUUCAGAGAGGUUUGGGGCAGAGAAUGGAAAGUGAAGAUGUGGGAAGUAACAAUCUAUCCAGCCCCACAGCUGAGUGAACCCCCUCCCAGCUAAUUAUACCACAGGAUUUGGGAGCAGAGCCCCCUUCAUUAAACUUUCAGGAGUCUUGGAAGGAUAGGGCUGGAAUUACACCAUCGAAGCUUGGAGAGUUUGGUGUGUGCCAGGCAUUGUGCUCAGAGACCUUAUGUGCCUCAUCUGAGAGCUCACCUCAAGCCUGUGAGGUAUUACUACAACUCCUCCCUUUGUACUUUGUAGACUCAGAGAUCAGGGCUCUCUGGCUCUGUCAAGUCACCUGCUCCCAGUUUAUGAGUGGUGGAGGCAAGACUUGAACCGAAAAUUUCUCUUUUCAAGAGGCCGUUCCCCCCCCACCCCCGCCCCGGUCUUUUUAGGGCCGCACUCAUGGCCUAUGGAAGUUCGCAGGCUAGGGGUUGAAUUGGAGCUACAGCUGCCGGCCUGCACCACAGCCACAGCAACGCCAGACUGAAGCCGUGGCUGCAGCCUACACCACGCUCACAGCAACGCCGGAUCUUUAACCCACUGAAUGAGGCCAGGGAUCGAUCCUGCCACCUCAUAGUUCCUAGUUGGAAUCGUUUACUGCUGCGCCACGAGGGGAACUCCAAGCCUUGGGUUUUAAUCAUAAAAAAAAGUUACCUAAAUCUUGUCACCAGCUUACCACAAUAUUGACACUUUAGCUGGAUUAUUUUAAGUCCUCCCGAUAGCACUCCUUAGUUGUCCGACUUCCUAAUUAAGGAGAAAAAGGCUGCUGGAGACCUGACCUUAAUCAUGCAAAGGUUAGCGGAGUUGCAGGACUUGAACUCGAGUUCCCCAUUGCGUCUGGCUUCCCGGGGAUAUGAACAUCAUCUGUGCCACUAAGACUGGCGCACGUGUUCACACACCUCCAGGAUGAGAUCUCAUCGCCUCAGCGGCUUCUUCACACCAGCACUUCUUGCGGGUAAUUUCCUUUUGGCCCAUCCUGUCGCCCCAAGCCCAAGCAGGUAAACAAAAAGCAGGAGUGCCGGGUAGCAGCUCAAGGGUUUUGCCCCGCAUGGUCCGCAAGACUCCAGGCGGCAGCGCCCAGCCCAGAACCGCUAGCGCUCAGGCCUAGACUGGGCCGAUGCGGAGGGCGUUGGCGCGACUCUGGGAACAGCGGAUGGCUCCCGAGGGCGCGGGGAGGGGGCUAGCGAGUGCGCGCGUGCGCGGUCGGGGGGGGCCGCGGAGGCGCGCGGGGAGCGUGCGCGGCGGGGGGUGGUGUGAGCUGCCGCGGCCGCGCGCGGCACGGCGGGAACAUGGCGCGCGGAGCCGGCGCGCGCGCCUAGCUGGCGGGACCGUUAGCUCGAGGCGGACGCGGCCCGGGUCCCGCGGCGAUGGAGCAGUCGCUGCCGCCGGCGCCUGAGCCCAUUCCGGGGUCAACCCUGGUACGGAGCCAAAGGCACCGGGAGCCCGAGUCGCCUCCGGCGCCGGCGCCGAUUCCUCUCUUUGGUGCUAAGACUGUUGGCCAGAGAAGUCCUGAUGGACCAAUGCUGAGCAAAGCUGAAUUUGUUGAGAAAGUUCGUCAGAGUAAUCAGGCCUGUCAUGAUGGAGAUUUCCACACAGCUAUUGUUCUGUACAAUGAAGCCCUGGCUGUUGACCCUCAGAACUGCAUCUUAUACAGCAAUAGAUCUGCAGCCUAUAUGAAAAUCCAGCAGUAUGACAAGGCACUGGAUGAUGCAAUCAAAGCUCGACUUCUCAAUCCCAAAUGGCCAAAGUUUUUCACAGGGGGAGAAGAAUGGAGUGAAACUCCCACAUCUUGAAGGUGGAUAUUGUAUAACAUUGCAAGGAGGACAAGGAAGCAAGGAUAAGAGUCAUAAAUUGCAGCUGGAAGCUUGGAACUGAUUCCUUUACUCUGCAGUAGCUCGGAAAGGAUUCGGCUCCAAGUUUAAUGAACAAUGAAACAUGAUCUGAAGAAUUCUAUGCAAGAAAUACUCUGUUGCCUGGUUCUUCAUGACUUCUAGUAAUUUUAACUUCUGCUCUACAGGAGCAGCAGUGCUCUUUGUUCACCUUCUCAAGAUGAGCUUUUAAAAUAAAAGUUGGGACUUUUUCCUCAAA
Non-coding RNA from Sus scrofa (pig), 7258 nucleotides. The record is from RefSeq and is a predicted model, not a curated record. NCBI's taxonomy places the organism in Eukaryota, Metazoa, Chordata, Mammalia, Artiodactyla, Suidae.